GAUCCUGGCUCGGAUUGAACGCUGGCGGCAGGCCUAACACAUGCAAGUCGAACGGUAACAGGGAGCAGCUUGCUGCUUUGCUGACGAGUGGCGGACGGGUGAGUAAUGUCUGGGAACUGCCUGAUGGAGGGGGAUAACUACUGGAAACGGUAGCUAAUACCGCAUAACGUCGCAAGACCAAAGAGGGGGGACCUUAGGGCCUCUUGCCAUCGGAUGUGCCCAGAUGGGAUUAGCUAGUAGGUGGGG
Molecule: ribosomal RNA, 246 nt
Filed under: uncultured bacterium
Lineage: Bacteria
Description: partial 16S ribosomal RNA
Rfam family: Bacterial small subunit ribosomal RNA
Source: RNAcentral